UGCAGAAUCCCGUGAACCAUCGAGUUUUUGAACGCAAGUUGCGCCUGAGGCCAGCCGGCCAAGGGCACGUCCGCCUGGGCGUCA
RNAcentral lists this ribosomal RNA (84 nucleotides) under Dactylorhiza incarnata. Its description in RNAcentral is "partial 5.8S ribosomal RNA". It matches the Rfam family "5.8S ribosomal RNA", at positions 73 to 154 of the family's 154-position model. From Rfam's summary of the family: 5.8S ribosomal RNA (5.8S rRNA) is a component of the large subunit of the eukaryotic ribosome. It is transcribed by RNA polymerase I as part of the 45S precursor that also contains 18S and 28S rRNA. Functionally, it is thought that 5.8S rRNA may be involved in ribosome translocation. The record is from RNAcentral. RNAcentral also lists the same sequence under 1 other name. Lineage: Eukaryota; Viridiplantae; Streptophyta; Magnoliopsida; Asparagales; Orchidaceae.